This 23-nucleotide non-coding RNA is filed under the name Mus musculus (house mouse). The record is from RNAcentral. Lineage: Eukaryota; Metazoa; Chordata; Mammalia; Rodentia; Muridae.
UCUGUUCAGUGUGGGUCAAAGGG